CUACGGGCCGCUGCAGUAAGGAAUAUUGCGCAAUGGAGGCAACUCUGACGCAGCCAUGCCGCGUGCAGGAAGAAGGCCUUAUGGGUCGUAAACUGCUUUUACUUAGGAAUAAACCCCCGAACGUGUUCGGGGCUGAAGGUACUGAAUGAAUAAGCACCGGCUAACUCCGGCCAGCAGCCGCGGUAAUACGGAGGGUGCAAGCGUUAUCCGGAUUUAUUGGGUUUAAAGGGUGCGCAGGCGGGCUAUUAAGUCAGUGGUGAAAUCCCGGGGCUCAACUCCGGAACUGCCAUUGAUACUGAUAGUCUUGAGUUUGGUUGAAGUGGGCGGAAUGUAGCAUGUAGCGGUGAAAUGCAUAGAUAUGCUACAGAACACCAAUCGCGAAGGCAGCUCACUAAGCCAAAACUGACGCUCAUGCACGAAAGCGUGGGGAUCAAACAGGAUUAGAUACCCUUGUAGUC
Molecule: ribosomal RNA, 458 nt
Filed under: uncultured bacterium
Lineage: Bacteria
Description: partial 16S ribosomal RNA
Rfam family: Bacterial small subunit ribosomal RNA
Source: RNAcentral